AUGUAUUUUUGUUGGAGGUAUAUCCUCUUUUUGAAUCAUUUAAACAUGGUGGUUAGUACAUUGAAUUUUAUAGUAAAGUUUAAGAUUGAUAAAAUGGAUUUUUUGUUGGAGGUAUAUCCUCUUUUUGAAUCAGUUGUAAAGUCCUAUGGUCAAGCUUGUACUGGUAUGGUUACAAUAUAUUACAUGGCAAUUUUCAGAGCUGAGUUGCAAGACAAAAUUAAGUUUUGCUAUACAAGAAAAAUACAUUUAUGUUUCUCGGUAGUUUCUUGA
Molecule: non-coding RNA, 270 nt
Organism: Vicia faba (fava bean)
Lineage: Eukaryota; Viridiplantae; Streptophyta; Magnoliopsida; Fabales; Fabaceae
Source: the annotation of a GenBank genome assembly